UGGGGCUUCUGCUGUGUCUCUAGAUGAUGCCUUAAGAAACACCCACUCCCCGUGAGGGAUGUUACCAAGAAGUCAAGAACCACCAGUAACUUUGAAAAGUCCAGAUUACUCAGUCUCGGGUAUGUGUAUCAGCAAUGUGAAAACGGACUAGUACAUCUCUAGAGGCACAAGCCAUGUGGUCCAGCCAUAAUUAUUUGUUGUCACAACUAAGUUUCCUUUCUAUAUGAAAAGAUUAUAUUGAUCAGAAUUCUAAA
Molecule: long non-coding RNA, 254 nt
Organism: Pan troglodytes (chimpanzee)
Lineage: Eukaryota; Metazoa; Chordata; Mammalia; Primates; Hominidae
Exons: 2
Source: RefSeq, a predicted model, not a curated record